UAGAGUUUGAUCCUGGCUCAGGAUGAACGCUGGCGGCGUGCUUAACACAUGCAAGUCGAACGAUGAAGCCCAGCUUGCUGGGUGGAUUAGUGGCGAACGGGUGAGUAACACGUGAGUAACCUGCCCCUGACUCUGGGAUAAGCCCGGGAAACUGGGUCUAAUACCGGAUAUGACUUUUGACCGCAUGGUUGAGGGUGGAAAGAUUUAUCGGUUGGGGAUGGACUCGCGGCCUAUCAGCUUGUUGGUGAGGUAAUGGCUCACCAAGGCGACGACGGGUAGCCGGCCUGAGAGGGUGACCGGCCACACUGGGACUGAGACACGGCCCAGACUCCUACGGGAGGCAGCAGUGGGGAAUAUUGCACAAUGGGCGCAAGCCUGAUGCAGCGACGCCGCGUGAGGGAUGACGGCCUUCGGGUUGUAAACCUCUUUCAGUAGGGAAGAAGCGAGAGUGACGGUACCUGCAGAAGAAGCGCCGACUAACUACGUGCCAGCAGCCGCGGUAAUA
This 505-nucleotide ribosomal RNA is filed under the name uncultured Arthrobacter sp. RNAcentral describes it as "bacterial SSU rRNA". It matches the Rfam family "Bacterial small subunit ribosomal RNA", at positions 1 to 525 of the family's 1533-position model. Lineage: Bacteria; Bacillati; Actinomycetota; Actinomycetes; Micrococcales; Micrococcaceae. The record is from RNAcentral.